Molecule: non-coding RNA, 846 nt
Filed under: Pongo abelii (Sumatran orangutan)
Lineage: Eukaryota; Metazoa; Chordata; Mammalia; Primates; Hominidae
Source: RNAcentral
AAGAUGACUUUUAACUUCUUGGAGAAUAUCCUUUCAGAUAGUUGUCUUUGCAAAUGUAUACUUUUAAUGUUUUUUCGUUUGCCUUUUUAAAAUAAUUUUUUUGGGGGACAGGGUCUUUCUCUGUCACCCAGGCUGUAGUGCAGUAGAACGAUUAUUAGUUCAUUGCAACCCCGACGUCCUGGGUUCAAGCUAUCCUCACCUCUCAGCCUCUAGACUGGCUAUGACCACAGCCUCGAGCCAUCAUGCCUGGCUAAUUUUUGCAUUUUUUGUAGAGAUGGGGGUCUCACAGUGUUGUCCAGGCUGGUCUUAAACUCCUUGCUUCAAUAGAUCCUCACACUCCAGCCUCCCAAAAUGUGAUUACAGGCUGAGUCACCACGCCCAGCAUGGUUUGUUUUUUUUUUUUUGUAAGCAAAAUUGACGUACAUACUGGAGGUACAAUUCUGUAGCUGGCCUUCUUUACAGAGUUUAGAAUAAAUGUCUUUCCAUGUCAAGUUUUCAUUUACAUCCUUUGUAAUAGUUGCAAAAUAUUCCAUUUUAUAGCUGUAUCUUAAUUGUGGAUUAAGGUUGGAGUGCAGUGGCACUAUCAUGGCUUAGUCCAGCCUCAGCCUUCUAGGUUCAAGUAAUCUUCCCACCUCAGCCUCCCAAGAAGCUAGGACUACAGGGACCCACCACCACACCUAGCUAAUUAAAAAAAAAAAUUGUAGAGAUGGAGUCUCAGUGUGUAGCCCAGUCUCAAGUGACCCUCCCUCCUUGGCCUCCCAAAGUGCUGAGAUUGCUGCUCCUAAGGAGGCAGCAGAAACCAAGGUAAUCACAAUGGUCAACAGCAGCGAAGGCAGCACUUUCUGA